UACGUAGGGUGCGAGCGUUAAUCGGAAUUACUGGGCGUAAAGCGUGCGUAGGUGGUGAGUUAAGUCUGUCGUGAAAGCCCCGGGCUCAACCUGGGAAUGGCGAUGGAUACUGGCUCGCUAGAGUGCGGUAGAGGAGAGUGGAAUUCCCGGUGUAGCAGUGAAAUGCGUAGAGAUCGGGAGGAACAUCAGUUGCGAAGGCGGGCUACUGGGCCGAUACUGACGCUGAAGCGCGAAAGCCAGGGGAGCGAACGGG
RNAcentral lists this ribosomal RNA (253 nucleotides) under uncultured bacterium. Its description in RNAcentral is "partial 16S ribosomal RNA". It matches the Rfam family "Bacterial small subunit ribosomal RNA", at positions 524 to 776 of the family's 1533-position model. The record is from RNAcentral.